ACGGAAGGCAGCAGUGAGGAAUAUUGGUCAAUGGGCGGAAGCCUGAACCAGCCAAGUCGCGUGAAGGAUGAAGGUAUUAUGUAUUGUAAACUUCUUUAGACGUAGAGAAAUAAGGGGAUCGUGAUCCCUGAUGCUAGUAUACGUAGAAUAAGGAUCGGCUAACUCCGUGCCAGCAGCCGCGGUAAUACGGAGGAUCCGAGCGUUAUCCGGAUUUAUUGGGUUUAAAGGGUGCGCAGGCGGCUUUUUAAGUCAGUGGUUAAAUCGUGGAGCUUAACUCCAUCCCGCCAUUGAUACUGGAGAGCUUGAGUGCGGUUGAGGUUGGCGGAAUUCGCCGUGUAGCGGUGAAAUGCAUAGAUAUGGCGAAGAACUCCGAUUGCGUAGGCAGCUGACCAAGCCGUAAAUGACGCUCAUGCACGAAAGUGCGGGGAUCGAACAGGAUUAGAUACCCUGGUA
Molecule: ribosomal RNA, 453 nt
Filed under: uncultured Porphyromonadaceae bacterium
Lineage: Bacteria; Pseudomonadati; Bacteroidota; Bacteroidia; Bacteroidales; Porphyromonadaceae
Description: partial 16S ribosomal RNA
Rfam family: Bacterial small subunit ribosomal RNA
Source: RNAcentral